RNAcentral lists this ribosomal RNA (442 nucleotides) under uncultured prokaryote. Its description in RNAcentral is "bacterial SSU rRNA". It matches the Rfam family "Bacterial small subunit ribosomal RNA", at positions 355 to 796 of the family's 1533-position model. The record is from RNAcentral.
UCGAGAAUCUUCGGCAAUGGGCGAAAGCCUGANCGAGCGACGCCGCGUGCGGGAUGAAGGCCUUCGGGUUGUAAACCGCUGUCAGUGGGGAGGAAGGCGCUGUGAAGAACAGCGUUUGACCUAUCCGCAGAGGAAGUCCGGGCUAAGUUCGUGCCAGCAGCCGCGGUAAUACGAACCGGACAAACGUUAUUCGGAAUUAUUGGGCUUAAAGGGUGCGUAGGCGGCCAUUCAAGUCGGGUGUGAAAUCCCACGGCUCAACCGUGGAACUGGGCCCGUUACUGUUUGGCUCGAGGGAGACAGAGGUGAGCGGAACUGAUGGUGGAGCGGUGAAAUGCGUUGAUAUCAUCAGGAACACCGGUGGCGAAGGCGGCUCACUGGGUCUCUUCUGACGCUGAGGCACGAAAGCUAGGGUAGCGAACGGGAUUAGAUACCCCGGUAGUCC